This 392-nucleotide ribosomal RNA is filed under the name uncultured bacterium. RNAcentral's name for it is "partial 16S ribosomal RNA". It matches the Rfam family "Bacterial small subunit ribosomal RNA", at positions 523 to 918 of the family's 1533-position model. The record is from RNAcentral.
AUACGGAGGAUCCGAGCGUUAUCCGGAUUUAUUGGGUUUAAAGGGUGCGCAGGCGGCCAUUUAAGUCAGCGGUUAAAUCGUGGGGCUCAACCCCAUUCUGCCGUUGAUACUGGGUGGCUUGAUUGCGGUCGAGGUUGGCGGAAUUCGUUGUGUAGCGGUGAAAUGCAUAGAUAUGACGAAGAACACCGAUUGCGUAGGCAGCUGACCAGACCGCAAAUGACGCUCAUGCACGAAAGUGCGGGGAUCGAACAGGAUUAGAUACCCUGGUAGUCCACACAGUAAACGAUGAAUACUCGCUGUUUGCGAUACACUGUAAGCGGCCAAGCGAAAGCGUUAAGUAUUCCACCUGGGGAGUACGCCGGCAACGGUGAAACUUAAAGGAAUCGACGGGG